Molecule: long non-coding RNA, 7134 nt
Filed under: Nicotiana tabacum (common tobacco)
Lineage: Eukaryota; Viridiplantae; Streptophyta; Magnoliopsida; Solanales; Solanaceae
Description: long non-coding RNA (NTAB_LNC015069)
Source: RNAcentral
UGGGCGAUUUGAAGGAAGGUUUAGAGGUGGUUCCGGAAAUAGCUGAUCGUGGUUGUUUGGGCUGCUUCUCAGUUGGGAUUUUUUGUGCUUUUUUUGGGGUAGUUAGGAUGGCAGCUCAUAGAAGAUGAUGGGCGUGGCUGAAGUUUUUAGAAUGGAGUCCGUGAGAGCUGCUGGUUCUCUUUUUAGUUGAAGAAAGGUAGAAACAGCUGUACAUGGGGGGGUUCUCUAGGGUUCGUAUAAAAUGGGGAGAUGAAGGGGUCUUUAGGUUAGCGGGUAUGGGCUUAGGUAUUAUGGGCUAGGUCCGAAUUGUGUCCUAAAAUUGGGCUCUAAGACUCUUAAGAUUGUGGUCCAAAACCUUAGUUAACUCCCUUUAAGAUAAGAUAAAAAUACUACACAAUGCAAAAACUAAUUCUAAUUAAUUAAAUUAAACUAUCUUAAAAUAUUAAACUAUUUUUUUUAUUUUCAAGAUUAUAUUAAGAUAAAAAUAAGGUACUUUUUUGUAUUUUUAAUUUUAUGAAAGGUACAUAAACCCAAAGUAACUAGAUAAAAUAUCAAUUAGCUAAAUAGAAGAAAAUAUUUUUGUAAUUUUGUAUUGUUGUUAUAAAAUAAAGUAAAAUAGUUAAAACUAGUUGAAAUAACGAUAUUAGGCCUAAACAAAAUAUUUCAAAGCUAAUAUAUGUAAAAUCUUAGGGAGGGUCAAAAAUCACAUGUCUACAGCUGCCCCUCUUUGACUGGAAACACGAAGUGUUUUCAAACAAAGAACGACGAGACAUGUUUUUUGACGAGACAUGUUUUUAGAGAGACCAAAAGCUAAAAGAAAGGAGAAUGUGACCGAGUCCUGGUAUCUGAGCUGCCUACAUAUCCUUGGAUAUAAAGGAAUCAGGUUAUGUGUAGUUCAAAAGUAGGAACAGUGGUAGGGUGUACCGAGGUGGAGAGCCGAUUGAGGUGUCGUCGAGGUUCCAGUCCGCGAUUCCUGCCAUUACUUCAAAAAUAAAAGGAAAAAUUACAGUAAAAAUAAAAGAAAAAAUACAAAAUCCUAUCUACUUUUUGUCAUGCUCUUUCUUGAAUCUCCAUUUGCUCUUUCAAAAAAUUCACCCCGUUCUUCAGGUGGGCCUCCUACUAACUUGAAUUUGAAGAAAACUGGAAGUUGACCCUGGUCUUCAGCCGGGCAUCCUGCUGUUUUCCCUUGAAAUAAACUUGAACUUUGAGUAGACUUGAGUUUGAAAACCUUGUUCCUCAGACGGAUCGUGCUACUUCUUAUUUGAAUUAAAAAUUGCCCCUAUUCUCCAGGCGAGAUCCUGUUGUCUUUUACUUGAAUCUUGAAUACUGGAAGUUAACCCUGCUCUUCAGGGGGGAUCCUCCUGCUUGAUUUUGACUUGAACUUGAAAACUGAAAGUUGACUCUACUCUUCAGGAGGGCUCCUGAUGCCUCUCACUUGAUCUUGAAAACUGAAAGUUAAUCCCGUUCUUCAGGCGGGAUUCUCCUUAUGCCUCUUGAACUUGAAAUUGAAACCCCAACACUGACCCUGUUCUUCAAGUGUGCUCCUGAUGCCUCUGACUUGAACUUGUAAACUAAAAGUUGACCCUAUUCUUCAGGCGGGAUUCUCCUAAUGCUUCUCUAACUUGAAAUUGAAAACUUAACAUGUUCUUCAUGUGGGCUCCUGAUGCCUCCUUGACUUUAACAUGUAAACUAAAACGUGUCCCUGUUCUUCAGGCGGGCUCCUAACGCUUCUCUAACUUGCACUUGAAACCAAUUUCUGAAAUAUUGACCCUCGUUCUUCAGGUGGGAUCCUCCUGCUUGAUCUCGAACGAAAUUGAAAGUUGACCCCGUUCUUCAGGCGGGUUCUUGGUGCUUCUUUGACUUGGACCUAAAACCGAUUUCUGAAAUGUUUCCCUCGUUCUCCAGGUGGGUGCAUGCAAUUAAAAAUAACAAAACAAAUAAAAUUUUCUACCCUAGUUUUCACUAGGAAGGUUUGUGAGUUGUUAACGAUAAUGUAAAUUACUUAUGCUAUUGAUGAAAGAUGCAAGGAUGAGGGUAAAACUAAAAAUUCAACUAAGAUGUGCGUCUCCUAUGAGAGCGUUCUUAAGGAAAACUAUAAGCUAAGCUUGACUAAAUUAAAAAUUACCCCUAUUCUUCAGGCAGGACCCUAAACUCAAGAAAACUAAGGAUUGAAAACCUAAGAAAACUAACAGCUGACCCUAUUCUCUAGGUGGGACCCCUGAACUUUAAGAGAAACUAAAUAUUGAAAUCUUAAGGAAACUAACAAUUGAUCCUAUUCUCCAGGCGGGACCCCUAAACUAAAUCCUAAGCACUUAAGAAAAUUAAAAAUGGCCCUAUUCUCCGGGUAGGGCUCCUGAACUUAAGGAAAGCUAAAGAUUAACAACUUAAGAAAACUAAAAUUGACCUUAUUCUCCAGGCGAGACCCCUGAACUCAAGGAAAACUAAGACUAACAACUUAAAGGAACAAUAAAUGACCCUAUUCUCUAGGAGGGAUCCCUGAACUCAAGGAAAACUAAAGACUAACCACUUAAGGAAAGUAAAACUAACCCUAUUCUGCAGGCGGGACCUCUGAACUUAAGAAAAACUAAAAACUCUUCUGACUAGGGAGAAUGCCUAGGAGAUAAUGGUCAUCUCAACUAGGUGAACGCCUAGCAAGUAAAAACCUUCUCAAACAACCUUUGUGCUGCCCAAAUUUGGGCAUUGCACUUGAAAAAUUCAAGCAUCCAAGCAUUGAUUUGGACACAGUUUUCAUCUCUGUUUGAAGCAAAGAAAACUUGUGAGUUUAAACAUAGUGGUUGGUUUGAGGCCUUGACUUUGAGAGCGAUUGCCCCUUCACUUGCCAUGAUAACUUUGAUUUUAACUUGAAAGACCUUGCUUGUUUAUUGACUAACCACUUUUCCUGUCACCCUUAUCACAGAACAUACCUCUGAUCUGUUCAAACCCAAUACCCUCUAUCUGUUGUAUUGUGCUCAUAAAUUGACAUAUACCAAACCUUUGUAUUUCACAUAAAUCUCAAAGCUGGUAGAAGAUUUUAAAGUCAUUCUUACUUGUUCCGGCAAAAUAGACUCGAGAGGACUUAGACAAAGCAAGAAGAACAAAGUUAAGAGGACAACGAAAAGAGAUGAUAUCUAACAAGAAAAUCACCAAGUAGAAACUUAUCAAAUGUGGAUACCAACUCUAAUGACUGUGACAUGCAUUCUGGAUUAAGUGGCCUAAUCUGUCACGCAAGUCUAAUGUUCAACUCUUGUAGUAUCUCUAAGCCGUGAAACUAGGUUUCGAUGCUCUGAUUAUCCUAUCUGAAUCAUGGUCCUUAUUUGACUUGUAAUGCCCGAAGGGUUUUCACCAUCAAGCCUCUCUCAUUUCUUUCUAUCAACUCAAUGUCGCCUUAUGGUGUCUGUGAAGGUUUUCACCAAUAAGACUCUCUCGUUUUGUUCUGUUGUUCUUAUUUCUUCUAAUUCUGCAGAUGACAAGGCAUUAACCAUAGUAAAAACAUCAUAUGCUCCUGGCAUGUCUAGCUUGGCACUCUCAAAGAUUAUCUGGGAGGUAUUUUUUAGACUGUAAUGUGGCUUUUGGACAGGGUUAGAAAGAAAGGAUAUCAUAAAGGCAAAAAUAACUAAGACAACAUGGUUAAUUUAUUUACAACUUUUGGAAUCCAUUAUAAAAACUUUGCCCCAAUUUCUAAUACAAGGGAAUUUGAUUCUUUUUUUUUUCUUUUUUCUUUUUGAGAUGGAUUUUCUAAGAAAGANNNNNNNNNNNNNNNNNNNNNNUGUUUUUGAAAUAUUUUUUUAAUGAAGUUUCUAAAACAAACCUUAUAGGGCAUGAAUUUUUUUCUUUUUUUUCCCUUUUUUUAUGUGAUGACUCUAACUCGAUUCCAAAAGAGGGAGGUCAAGAAAAUUAGCAUAGGUUCAAAAGGGGUACCAAAUGGUAUAAAGUGUUUAGGUAGCUGAAAGAGGGCCUCCCAAUCCAUGAAAAUGCCAAGUACAACAUUUCUUUUGAAGCUUUGGCAUUGAUGUCACUGAUAGGCCUUCUACUUUUUUUAGUGACUUGUCAAGUACAGAACUCUUGUUGGGUGAUUUCAUCACAAUGUAUACCCUCCGUCUGUUUGGAGCAAAAUCCCUUGGCUUUAUCUUGUUACUUGAUAUGUACUUGAACUCAAAGUUGCUCACUUCAAAUUAUCCGGGAUGCACUGUCCUUUAACGAAUUCUUGUAAUCCUAUUAACUUCCCAAAUUAUCUGCCCUAUUUUUACACACUUCUGGCUUUAAAUGAUCUCAAAAUGUCCAAAUAUGUACGUAUUUCCCUCAAAUGUCCCUAUCAUCUUCAAAAUUAUUUCAUUGUUUCAUGAUUAAACUAACUUUUAAGACCAGGCCUAGAAUUAUGCAUACAUGUCAUGUCACUAGAGCCAACAUGAAAAGAACUAUAAAAGGAGAAGAGAACUAAACAAAAAAUGACUAGAAAUAAUAUAAAACAGAAAAUUGCAUUAGAGAGAUGGUGAGAAGGGUUUGAACAACAAGACAAGCAAAAUAAACUAGGGUUACAACCCUGGAACAGACCUAGAGAACACUAAACGAGUUACUACGACUAAACAAACUAGCAAAACAAAAGGAUAGAAGGGUUUGAUUCCCAAGACAAUAUCUGGAUUACAACCCUAAAAUAACCCGGACAACAGAAAUAACAACAAAAUAAACCACCAGGACUCCCCCUGGCUAGCCAAGAAAGGAACAUCUUUCCAAUUACCAAGCUUGACAUCUUAGCCACUGAGCUCCACAUCAAUAUUACCAAGACCUUCACAAGUCUUCAUCACAUUGACCUUAGCAAAUUGCUUUUGGAUCCCUUUUACCGGCUCGUUCUUUAGAUCAACUGCCAGAACCGAGAGUGCUAAAAGCUUUGCGGCAAGUGGCCCUCUGAGGAUCUCAGAAGAGUUCUCAUAUUCCUUUUCAACACAAAUCAUACCCACCAUAUACGUCUCAUUAUGAACAGGCGAUGGACUUUGGCUAGUGUCUAGUGCAUCUGGAUUUUGCACAACAAUGUCACCUACCUCAAUAAGCUUAUGAACUGCUCUUUUCAGAUGCCAACACUUUUCUAUGCUGUGAGCCGGGGCAUUAGAGCAAUAUGCGCACCUUUGAGAAUAAUCAAAAUUCUAUGGAAGGAGGUUCGAAAUUUUUAUCUGAAUUGGCUUCAACAUGUCUAAUUGCCUCAACCUUUGGAACAAACUAGCAUAUGAUUCUCCAAUAGGAGUGAAAGUCUUUUCUUUUUCCUGUUGCCUUUUCAUUUUGUACUCUAACCUCAGCUGGAACCUUUUGCGGGUAGGUGGUUGCUAUGCUUGAGGAGGUGGGUAAGACAUUUGCGGAAGUGGUGCAGACCAUCGCGGGUCCUGUAGAUGUGGAGCAUAUGGUUGUGCAUUAUGGAUGGAGUACUGGGAAGGUGAGGUAUGACUUUGGGGAUUUUAUGGAGAGAAGUAGCAUUGGGGAGGAUUAUCUGGAGCACAAGGAUAUCCAUGGGGUCGAUAUUGAGGCUGAAAGCGUUGAGCAGGAAUGCCCACUGGAUCAUGUCGUUGGCGGGGCUCAACAACAUCUUUUCUAUUUCUUUUCUUUCCACCCAAACUUACUGAGAUGUUCUGAAUGUCUUCUGUAGUAUCUUUCAAAGCAGAAUAGCUCCUGAUUUUGCGUGACUUGAUUCCCUCUUCUACCAUCUCCCCUAUUUUUACCACAUCAUUGAAAGGUUUACCCAAGGCUAGGAUCAAAUAACUGAAGUAGGUGGGGCCAUGUGCCUAUAGAAAAAGCUCAACCAUUUCUUCUUCACCAAUCGGGGGACUGACCCGAGCAGCUUGUUCCCUCCAUAUGAGCCCAAACUUCCUAAAACUUUCUUCGAGUUUCUUUUCCAUCUUAGAUAGGGAGGAGCGGUCUGGGAUAAUAUCUAGAUUGUACUGAAAGUGUCGAACAAAAUCUUGAGUCAUGUCAUCCCAUGCAUGCCACUUACUAACAUCUUGACGGGUAUACCAUUCCAAGGCUGCCCCAGUCAAGCUCUCACUGUAAUUUUCCACUUACGCAAAAACAAAGCUAGUAAAUUUAAUCCUAUUCUCGCCAGCUCGUAUUGAAAUGCUAAUUACCAGAAAAAGACAACCCAAUUUGGCCAAGUUAUGAUAAAAUAGUCAACAAUUAAUAAUGGUAUAAAUUCAAACUCAAGAUAACAAUGGUAGCAAUUUUAUGUAUAACAGAAUUUUUUAUCAAACACAACAACCAAACCAUCACUUAUCAUGCUCUAAACAGUUUUCUGUCAAGAAAUAGAAAAGGUUUUGCUGGUAACCUUGUAAGAAACAUACUGGCAGCAAAUUAUAAUUUUAAAAUAAAUAAACCAACAAAUACAAAGGACCUUUGAUGGAACAUAUUGUCCAUAUACGAUUUAUCAGUUCAUUUGUUACGGUCUACCAUAUAAUAAGAUGUAAAAAUCAUUUUAGAGCAGCAUUAGCCAGUUAAUUAGCUUUUUCUUCAAUUAGUAUACACUCUGGAUGCAUACGCAUCAUGCAUACACAUCACACAAUAGAGAACACAUCAGUACACAACACCGAUAUUUAAUCUUAAUAUAGAAAGAGAUGAAAAUUGACCUCAAAUAUUUCCUCUACAAGUCCAUAAGACAAAUAUGUCAAGCCCCUAACCGAAACUCGACACAGCGAUUUGAGCUGCUGUUUUCACGUUGUUUAGAGAUGGUUUUACAUCUUUCUCGAGGCUGUGUUGUUGCGUUUUUUAGCUGGAAAUUCUAGAUAAUUUUUUUUGGUGAUGUUUGGGCGAUUUGAAGGAAGGUUUAGAGGUGGUUCCGGAAAUAGCUGAUCGUGGUUGUUUGGGCUGCUUCUCAGUUGGGAUUUUUUGUGCUUUUUUUGGGGUAGUUAGGAUGGCAGCUCAUAGAAGAUGAUGGGCGUGGCUGAAGUUUUUAGAAUGGAGUCCGUGAGAGCUGCUGGUUCUCUUUUUAGUUGAAGAAAGGUAGAAACAGCUGUACAUGGGGGGGUUCUCUAGGGUUCGUAUAAAAUGGGGAGAUGAAGGGGUCUUUAGGUUAGCGGGUAUGGGCUUAGGUAUUAUGGGCUAGGUCCGAAUUGUGUCCUAAAAUUGGGCUCUAAGACUCUUAAGAUUGUGGUCCAAAAC